RNAcentral lists this ribosomal RNA (497 nucleotides) under uncultured bacterium. Its description in RNAcentral is "partial 16S ribosomal RNA". It matches the Rfam family "Bacterial small subunit ribosomal RNA", at positions 28 to 507 of the family's 1533-position model. The record is from RNAcentral.
GACGAACGCUGGCGGCGUGCCUAAUACAUGCAAGUCGAGCGAACAGACGAGGAGCUUGCUUCGCUGACGUUAGAGGCGGACGGGUGAGUAACACGUGGAUAACCUACCUAUAAGACUGGGAUAACGUCGGGAAACCGGAGCUAAUACCGGAUAAUAUAUUGAACCGCAUUGUUCAAUAGUGAAAGACGGUUUUGCUGUCACUUAUAGAUGGAUCCGCGCCGCAUUAGCUAGUUGGUAAGGUAACGGCUUACCAAGGCAACGAUGCGUAGCCUACCUGAGAGGGUGAUCGGCCCACCUGGAACGGGACCACGCUCCAGCCUCCUACGGGAGGCACCGGAAGGAAAUCUUCGGCAUUGGGGGAAAGCCUGCCGGAGCACGGCGGCGUGGGUGAUAAAGGUCUUCGGAUCGUAAAACUCUGUUUUUGGGGAAGAACAGAUGUGUAAGUAACUAUGCACGUCUUGACGGUACCUAAUCAGAAAGCCACGGCUAACUACGUG